Molecule: long non-coding RNA, 398 nt
Filed under: Capsicum annuum
Lineage: Eukaryota; Viridiplantae; Streptophyta; Magnoliopsida; Solanales; Solanaceae
Description: long non-coding RNA (CANN_LNC015808)
Source: RNAcentral
UUUCGGUCACUAUUAGCAUGGUAAUCUGGAUACUUUUCCCUUAAACAACGCCUCUACUCUGGCUACUCCCCACCACGGCUUUCUUGCCUUACCGGUUUCACCUUUAGGAAGUCAUAAUUCUUAGGGAUUUUUCUCUUUUUCCACUUUUCUAAUAAACUUCUUAACAUGCUAUUUUUUGAAUAAUUCUACUAUAAAGUAACUAACAUGAACUUAUUUUAUCAUAUCAUGAUUGUCAGGAAUUUAUGAAUUUAGCUAUUCAUAAUUGUAAAUAAAUAUAUCUGUUCUGGUAGGUUUGAUAAUUCUGGGCUUUGUUUAUCCAUAGCUUUUCCUUGGAAAUAUAUCUGAUUUUUAUUAAAUAUUCAAAAGUUUGUUUACAAAGGAGAUGACUUGCUUUCAAC